CUCCGCAGGAGGUUCGAGCCUCGCGAAGCGAGACAACGUUGCUUCAGCAACGGCCCGCAGGGCGCGCAUCCAAGAUGCGCGUAAUCCUCUCUCGCCGACCA
Molecule: small RNA, 101 nt
Filed under: Serratia marcescens
Lineage: Bacteria; Pseudomonadati; Pseudomonadota; Gammaproteobacteria; Enterobacterales; Yersiniaceae
Also listed under: 2 other names
Description: partial RtT sRNA
Rfam family: RtT RNA
About the family: This family represents a bacterial cis-regulatory element known as RtT RNA.
Source: RNAcentral